UAGGGAAUCUUCGGCAAUGGACGAAAGUCUGCCCGAGCAACGCCGCGUGAGUGAAGAAGGUUUUCGGAUCGUAAAACUCUGUUGUUAGAGAAGAACAAGGACGUUAGUAACUGAACGUCCCCUGACGGUAUCUAACCAGAAAGCCACGGCUAACUACGUGCCAGCAGCCGCGGUAAUACGUAGGUGGCAAGCGUUGUCCGGAUUUAUUGGGCGUAAAGCGAGCGCAGGCGGUUUCUUAAGUCUGAUGUGAAAGCCCCCGGCUCAACCGGGGAGGGUCAUUGGAAACUGGGAGACUGGAGUGCAGAAGAGGAGAGUGGAAUUCCAUGUGUAGCGGUGAAAUGCGUAGAUAUAUGGAGGAACACCAGUGGCGAAGGCGGCUCUCUGGUCUGUAACUGACGCUGAGGCUCGAAAGCGUGGGGAGCAAACAGG
This 429-nucleotide ribosomal RNA is filed under the name Gemmatimonadota bacterium. RNAcentral's name for it is "Gemmatimonadetes bacterium partial 16S ribosomal RNA". It matches the Rfam family "Bacterial small subunit ribosomal RNA", at positions 355 to 776 of the family's 1533-position model. The record is from RNAcentral. Lineage: Bacteria; Pseudomonadati; Gemmatimonadota.